RNAcentral lists this ribosomal RNA (253 nucleotides) under uncultured prokaryote. Its description in RNAcentral is "partial 16S ribosomal RNA". It matches the Rfam family "Bacterial small subunit ribosomal RNA", at positions 524 to 776 of the family's 1533-position model. The record is from RNAcentral.
UACGGAGGGAGCAAGCGUUACUCGGAAUUAUUGGGCGUAAAGGGCGCGUAGGCGAUCCGACAAGUCUGGUGUGAAAGCCCACAUGUUAACUGUGGAAGUGCAUUAGAAACUGUUGGAUUUGAGUUCAGGAGAGGAAAGCAGAAUUCCCGGUGUAGCGGUGAAAUGCGUAGAGAUCGGGAGGAACACCGGUGGCGAAGGCGGCAUCCUGGACCGGCAUUGACGCUGAGGCGCGAAAGCCAGGGGAGCAAACGGG